GACGAACGCUGGCGGCGUGCCUAAUACAUGCAAGUAGAACGCACAGUUUAUACCGUAGCUUGCUACACCAUAGACUGUGAGUUGCGAACGGGUGAGUAACGCGUAGGUAACCUGCCUGGUAGCGGGGGAUAACUACUGGAAACGAUAGCUAAUACCGCAUAAUAUUAAUUAUUGCAUGAUAAUUAAUUGAAAGGUGCAAUUGCACCACUACCAGAUGGACCUGCGUUGUAUUAGCUAGUAGGUGAGGUAACGGCUCACCUAGGCGACGAUACAUAGCCGACCUGAGAGGGUGAUCGGCCACACUGGGACUGAGACACGGCCCAGACUCCUACGGGAGGCAGCAGUAGGGAAUCUUCGGCAAUGGACGAAAGUCUGACCGAGCAACGCCGCGUGAGUGAAGAAGGUUUUCGGAUCGUAAAGCUCGGUUGUAAGAGAAGAACGGGUGUGAGAGUGGAAAGUUCACACUGUGACGGUAUCUUACCAGAAAGGGACGGCUAACUACGUG
Molecule: ribosomal RNA, 505 nt
Filed under: uncultured bacterium
Lineage: Bacteria
Description: partial 16S ribosomal RNA
Rfam family: Bacterial small subunit ribosomal RNA
Source: RNAcentral